Thamnophis sirtalis is the source of this 620-nucleotide non-coding RNA. NCBI's taxonomy places the organism in Eukaryota, Metazoa, Chordata, Lepidosauria, Squamata, Natricidae. The record is from RefSeq and is a predicted model, not a curated record.
CAUCUGUUACAAACAAUGCAACGAACUUUGGAAACCUUCAGAUUAAAUCAGCAAAGGAGAUGACAAAAGAGGCAGGCAACUUCAGAAGGAGCAAGAGUCUGAAAAUUUUACGAAAUGUGAAAAACAGUAUUUGGAAUCCAUCUUCGAUAGUAAGAGCUCCGGAGCAUAAUCCGUCAAAUCAUCACAGCUCUAUUCUGAAUUUUGGUAUGCAUUUUAAAAAAUAAAUAUGCUCCAAUGUUCAAUUUACUAUGAAGGUAAUCCAUACAAUAAUACUGAAGUCCAAAAUUAUAAUACUAUAUAUCCUAAAGUUUUCUUGCAUUCUCUAAAUUAUCACUACAACUUUCCAGUUGAUAGUUUGUAAUGCUAUCACCAAGAUUUCUCAUCCUACCAUAUAUAGGAUCAUAUGCAUUAAUGUAAACAUUGCAAAGGAUGGUCAGAAUCCUUUUUAGAUUUAUUAAAUAUGGUAGGAUGUUGCCUUAUAUUUUCUAAUAGCUUUCUCAAAUGCUAUAAAGUAACUGAAAAAACUUAGAAUUAAAUCGAAAUGAGAAAAUACAUGUUGAGAACUAGGGAAAAUGGCACUGACAUGUUGACACGAGGAAGGAAAAAAAUCAUUUCGGGAA